CCCAUGGGCGAGCCUGACGGAGCACGCCGCGUGAGGGAUGAAGGCCUCUGGGCUGUAAACCUCUUUUAUCAAGGAAGAAGAUCUGACGGUACUUGAUGAAUAAGCCACGGCUAAUUCCGUGCCAGCAGCCGCGGUAAUACGGGAGUGGCAAGCGUUAUCCGGAAUUAUUGGGCGUAAAGCGUCCGCAGGCGGCCCUUCAAGUCUGCUGUUAAAAAGUGGAGCUUAACUCCAUCAUGGCAGUGGAAACUGUUGGGCUUGAGUGUGGUAGGGGCAGAGGGAAUUCCCGGUGUAGCGGUGAAAUGCGUAAAUAUCGGGAAGAACACCAGUGGCAAAGGCGCUCUGCUGGGCCAUCACUGACGCUCAUGGACAAAAGCCAGGGGAGCGAAAGGGAUUAAAUACCCCUGUAGUCCUGGCCGUAAACGAUGAACACUAGGUGUCGGGGGAAUCGACCCCCUCGGUGUCGUAGCCAACGCGUUAAGUGUUCCGCCUGGGGAGUACGCACGCAAGUGUGAAACUCAAAGGAAUUGACGGA
This 532-nucleotide ribosomal RNA is filed under the name uncultured bacterium. Its description in RNAcentral is "bacterial SSU rRNA". It matches the Rfam family "Bacterial small subunit ribosomal RNA", at positions 368 to 917 of the family's 1533-position model. The record is from RNAcentral.